This 264-nucleotide ribosomal RNA is filed under the name Kryptoperidinium foliaceum. RNAcentral describes it as "partial Bacterial large subunit ribosomal RNA". It matches the Rfam family "Bacterial large subunit ribosomal RNA", at positions 2027 to 2290 of the family's 2925-position model. Lineage: Eukaryota; Dinophyceae; Peridiniales; Kryptoperidiniaceae. The record is from RNAcentral.
AGAGACUCAGUGAAAUUGAAUUCCCCGUGAAGAUGCGGGGUUCCUGCGGUCAGACGGAAAGACCCCGUGCACCUUUACUAUAGGUUCACAUUGACAUUGGAUAAUUCAUGUGUAGGAUAGGUGGGAGACUUUGAAGUGUUGGCGCCAGCUGGCAUGGAGUCGCCCUUGAAAUACCACCCUGGUAACUUUGAGGUUCUAACUUAGGUCCCUAAUCGGGAUUGAGGACAGUGUGUGGUGGGUAGUUUGACUGGGGUGGUCGCCUCC